This is a long non-coding RNA of Oncorhynchus mykiss (rainbow trout), 2313 nucleotides long. The record is from Ensembl. NCBI's taxonomy places the organism in Eukaryota, Metazoa, Chordata, Actinopteri, Salmoniformes, Salmonidae.
AUGGAAAACAGAGCUUCAGAGAUUCUGCUCAUUUCCUGCUUGACGCAUCAUCUUGGUUUCGCCUGUAGAAUGAGUUCUGGGGCACUUACAGACAAUAUCUUUGCAGAUUCUGAAACUUCAGAGUGUUUUCUUUCAAAAACUGUCAAGAAUAUGCAUAGUCGAGCAUCUUUUCGUGACAAAAUAUCGCGCUUAAAACGGGAACGUUUUUUAUCCAAAAAUGAAAUAGCGCCCCUAGAGAUCCAACAGGUUAAAACAAUGAAAGCCUUUGGGUUUGGGGAUGUUUUUCUGUCUUGGGUGAAUUUACUGUAUGCUGGAGCCUCGUGUAUGGUGAAGGUUGGUGGUGGUUUGAGUUGCCCCAUCCCUGUCGAAAGGGGCAUCAGGCAGGGAUGCCCAAUUUCAGGGCAGUUAUAUAGUCUGGCGAUUGAACCAAUGCUUUGUUUUUUAAGAGCGAAGCUUACUAGUUUCUCUGUGCCAGGUGUAAUGAAGGGUCCCACGAUAGCACUGUCUGCGUAUGCAGAUGACGUGAUCGUUUUUAUUACAGGGGGUGAGGAUGUUAAGGUUCUCUCAAACACUUUAAAGGUGUAUGAGGGGGCCUCCUCAGCUAGAGUCAAUUGGGGAAAGAGUGAAGCGCUGUGGGCAGGUCAGCUUCAGAUGGGGUCCGCUCCGCGGUUACCAGGGGGGCUUCAGUGGGGCAGAGAUGGAAUGAAGACUUUGGGAGUUUUUCUAGGCUCCGAUGUCUUUCAGAAAAAGAACUGGGAGGGUGUAGUGGAGAAAGUGUGUGCCAGACUGUCAAGGUGGAAAUGGGUGUUGCCCCAGCUGUCCUAUAGGGGACGGGUCCUGGUAGCUAAUAAUCUUGCUGCUUCUACCCUGUGGCACAGACUAAUGAUUUUACAGCCACCAAAGGGUCUGAUACAAGAGCUUCAGAGGACCCUUGUCAAUUUCUUCUGGUCUGGACAACACUGGAUCAAAGCUGCAGCCUUGUAUCUGCCACUGCACGAGGGUGGGCAAGGCCUGGUGGACAUUUCCUCUAGGAUCACGGCUUUCUGGCUCCAAGCAGCCCAGAGAUUGUUGUACAGAGACUGUUCUAGCUGGGUCGAAACAGCCUACAUAUUGAUGAGGAGAGCGGGCUGUUUGGGCUUAGACAAACAUAUUUUCCUCUUAAAGCUGGAGGGGGGUGAUUUGACUGGCCUGACUCCAUUUUAUGAGUCUGUUAUGCAGGCUUGGAGAGUCUUUGUCAAGUCCCGUAAGACCGGCACGCCACCAGGGAUGUGGCUUUUUGAAGAGCCUCUUUUUCACAACACUGCCAUCCAGUCCCGUGUUCUGGGUUCAGCUAGCCUACGUUCAUGCCUAUUAGGCGUGGGGUGUACCAAGCUGGGUCAUCUGAUGCGGAGCAGGAGCAGAUUGGAGGAGCUGAGAGAAAGAGCGGGGAUCCGAUCAUCUCGCCUACUGAGGAAGGUCGUCGAUGAGGUCUGCGACUCCUUGAAAUUGCUUCAUCUGCAGUAUGUGACUGACAUUUCCAAUUCUGAUCGGUGGAAGGAGGGUCUGGAUUAUGUGUUCCCUGCACUGAUUGUUAGUGCUGCGAUGGGGGCAUUUGAGGAGGACGCGGGGAGGCUGCUUUCCUUCGAUACCCCGGAGCUGGGGGAGUUCAAGGAGGUGGGAAAGAAGGCUAUGUACAGAACAUGUGUGAAGGUGUCCCAUGCCUCUUCCCUGGAAGGGGUAAAAUCGACGAGGUGGGCGGAUGUGCUUGGUCCAGGUGCUUCUCCAAAAGGCUGUUGGCGAUCAUUAUAUAAACUGCCUAUUGAUAAGAGGACAGCUGACCUCCAAUGGAGGAUAAUACAUGGAGCUAUAGCCACCAACAUGCAUCUGGUACACCUGGACCCUACUGUUGGGAAGGGGUGUCCAUUCUGUGCUGAGGAUGAAUCUCUGGCAUAUCUGCUUUUGCUGUGUCCCAGGUUGGUUGGGAUGAUUGAACUGAUCACUGAUUGGUUCUCAAUGUUGGGAGAGGUUUUCUCUUCCCAACUGUAUAUAUUUGGGCCAAAGUACAGGUUCAGUCAAAAGGGUGUAGUUGUGUUGCUUAAUUUUGUGUUAGGGGCAGCAAAAUUAGCGAUAUGGAAGACCCGAAAGAACAGCAUUCGGGGACAGGGGUCUGUGGAUGUGGUGGGAAUGCUGGAGGGAAUGUUGGCAGCGAGAGUAAGGGUUGAGUUUGCCUAUUAUAAACUUGUCAACAAUAUUGAUCUGUUUUUGAGUAUAUGGGGUAUUCAGAGGCUGUUGUGUUUUGUUACUGUGGAGGAGGAAUUGGAGUUGUGUUUUUAA